This 3619-nucleotide unclassified non-coding RNA is filed under the name Leishmania donovani. Its description in RNAcentral is "gene:unknown". The record is from RNAcentral. Lineage: Eukaryota; Euglenozoa; Kinetoplastea; Trypanosomatida; Trypanosomatidae.
GUGCACCCUGUGAAGACAGCGAGACCCUCUUCACGGCAGAGUUGCCCUGAAGCAGGCCCCGUGGCCCGAAAAUGCGAGCGCUGUGCGCACGUGCUGCCCACCGUUGCUGGCUUGGUGCGUCACAUCGAAAGAAAGAGUGCAGAGGUGAGAGAGCAAGAGUGAUGGACGGAAGGGGCGCGAAGAAAUCCCAUAGCAGUGAGCCCCACAGCGCAUGUGUGCAUAGCAUGCGGCAUCUUCGGCAUCUGUCCAGGGCUGCACUGAUGAGGCACAGAUGCCGGAAGCAUCACGAGAGCAGCCCGAGCUGCACCAUCCGGGCCCUCCCGACUCCCCAUGCGGAGGGUCUCCAUAUUAUGGGAUGCCGCGGCGUGAAGCGACCGAGGGCGAAGCAUGGCACGCAGACAGGGGGUGCGCAGGGCCACCGAGGACCCUGACCUGAGGCUGGCCAACGUCCUCCUCGAGCUCAUCCGGCAUGUCACCUUGACCACUCCCCUAUUACCCGCACGACAGACGCCGCCGCCUCCGCCCUCGAGCAGGAGCAUGGGCGCGGCCCGCGUUGGAUCAGGCCAUGCAGCUCACCCAUGUCCGUGGGACGCCCGCCGCGCAGCACGCACCCGAGGAAGGGACGAGCAAGGACAGGAAGUGCCCGUGCGGCGUAUGGCCCGAUGCGAAGGCAGGCGGCUCGUCCUAGACGCCCAGGAUGCAGCCGUAACCCCCCCCCCCCCCUACAGAGACGGGUGGGCUGCGGUUGUAUGCGCCAAUCGGAGGACUCGCUCGCGGUGGAGUCACGCGCGCUGACACGGAAAAUGAAGUGCAUCUUUGCUGCCAAGCAGAAGCCGUUUUUUCGACACUUUGUUUCUCAAACGCCCUCCCGCCUGGGCACCUCUUGCCCUUCCAACAUGUCUUGCCCUCGUGCGGCCAACGGCCCAGGGCCGCGGCGCCCGCAUCCCAUGCCGUACUUCAGCUGUUCGAAGAGUUCCUUGUGGCCGGUCUUCUAACGCGAGCUUUCGCGUUCUGCUUUUUUUUCUCUGCUCCACGUACUUUGGGAGGUGUAGGCAAGAGGCCCGCAUACGCAGACAGGGUGUACGAAACCGAUUCUAAAAGCAGCAUACAGGCAUACUACGCCUGGCAGAAAACGUGGCUGCUGCUUCACAGGAAUGCGAACGAAGGAAAAAGAGUGCGUUGGGCGUUCUUCGUCUUCCGCUUUUCGUCGAAUAGUGGCGGAAGUAGAUGUGUUGUCCUUGCAUUUUUUUCAUGCUUCUGCUCUAAUAUUAUGUCGGCGUCUUCGUUCUCGCCGACUGCCUGCUCCGCUCUCCACCUCUCUUUUUCUUCCAGUGGCUGUUUUUUUUUUUGCGUGAUCAGCCCCACAACGCUGCGCACCCGGGCUCAUUUCUGUUGUUUAGUCGCUUGUGUGCGUCUGUUUUUGUCUGUGAUGUGGCUGGUGUCCGCUUUUCGCCGUUCGAAUUUCGUUUUCAUUGUGUCGGGUCCGCUGUUCCACCCCACCUUUUUUUUUUCAUCUUCGACUCUCUCGGCGGCUUUUCUCGUCUCUGUUCGCCUACCGCUGUUCCUUUCCUUCUUCAGCGCGCCCUCGUGUGUAUGUGUAUCAUAUCGCUGAAAGAGAGUCGCGUAUCGCUGUGCAUCUUUCUUUGAGCCACGCAUAAAAGAACAAAAAAAGAAGUGAAUGGCGUGCCGAAAAUGUAGCUACGGAAAACGGCAGCAGUGCCCGCGCAACAUCAGUGCUGGUCUUUUCUUUUUCUAUUUCGUUUGUGCUCCGCAGAUCAGCGGCACUCAAGGCGGGUGCAGAAAGCGAGCAUGUGCGUCAUUGUGCGGAGUUGAUGUUGACUUUUUUGCUUUCGAGAAACGGUAAGGGCUGCGGGCGUGCGUGUGGAGGCCGGUGCCGAGUCGACAAAGACACGAUCACAGGUGGGAUUGCCUCGUGUCUCAUGGCGUGGGCAGAUGUGUAUACGAACACGCACACACACCUCAUUCCUACACAUAAACACAAGCGCAAAAGUGUUGGACAGAGUGGAUCUCUUUUCGGUGCCCAUCUCUAUGCACCAAACCCCCUUUUCGGAACGGAUAUAGCAUUCUUCGCUCUUUUCGUUUUCUGAUCUUGUCCCUCUAUGGGCUGUUUCGUCUUCCUUUCUCCCCCUUUUCGUGGUAAUGCUGUGCUUUUCCUGUGCGCACGCUCCCCCCGUCGUCUCCCCGAUUUCUUGUUUGCGUGUGCAUUGUUUCUCUCUUUCCCCCUAGCGAGAGGUCAAGCGCUCGAGGAGGCGUGCAUCAGGGAGAGGCAGCGUCGUGACUUGUGUCUCAGGUUUUAAUCUCCUUUUUUCUCCGGUGUCAUUGUAUUCCUUCCGCUCUGGUGCUCACCGUGUCAGCUUUGCUGUAAGUUUCGCUCGUUCUCGUUGCCUUCCCCCGCUCCUCCUCCCCGACGCAGCGCCUCCCGAGCGCCCUCUUCUUCUCUCUGCGCCGCUGCCUGUUUCCUUCUUCUGCUUUCUGCUCUUCGCCGCAUCACGCAUCGUCGUUCUAUUAUUUUGCUUUUCUCCUUUUCCUUCGCUUGCAAGAUCCUGCGCAUGCGCGCAUGCUCGCUUCUCUUGCCCACCGGAUUGAAUUUGUUUGGUACUCUUGCGUCUCUUCAAUCGUCAGCGCAGCGGCGCUGUCUGUAAGUGUGGGUGCGUCGUUGCGGGCACAUCUUGGAUCUCGGCAGCCGCCACAGCCAUUCAGCACGCGCGCCUCUUUACUCUUCAACACAAGGCGUGCUUGUGUGCGAUGCCCUUAUUUUGUUUGUGUUUUCUUGUUUUUGUUUUGCGUUUCUUUUUUUUCUACUUCAGAUGUAUGCUCCUCUCAUCAAUGUGCGCGUCUUUGCCCAUGUAUGCGUGUGUGCCUCUUUAUACCUAUGUGUGUGUGUGUGCUCCUGGAGGCGCGCAGGUAUGUAGACACUAUCUAGUGCGUUUGUUCGCUUGUUUGUUGUGCUUUUUAUUAUUAUUAUAUUUUUGACUUCGCUAUUUCUCAUUUUUCUUGUGUGGCGCCGUUCCUUCUUUUUUUUUUUUCGUGUUGUUGCUGCUUUGCAUGUAUGUGCAUCCUCCUAACAACAUUUUCUGUCUUUUUUUUUUGUUUGCGUGCGUGCGUGUGCACGUGUAGAAAUAGCAGCAUGCCGAGUGUUAAAGGUACCCGCUGAAAUUGACACACUUACACACACACACACACGUGCUCUCGUAUAGUCGCAAGACAGUCUGUUGUGAGUUCCGCGGCAACGGAAAGAGCGACAUACACAGCGAGGAGGAGGGGAGAGUCACAGGGGGGGGGCGUGUAGGCAGGUAGAGGACGGGCGGCGCAGCCAAACAAGCAUGAGACGAGGGAGUGAGCUGAAGUAAGCCAGCUCACUGCACUUGAAUCCUUGUUCUCCAUUGCUGCUUCCGCGCCGAUCACUCUUCCGCCUUUGCCUUCUGAGCGUAUACGUCUCUGUGUCUCCCCUCUAUCCUUGCUUCUCUCUCGUUGUUCGGUCUGACUUUUACUUUCUCUCUUCUCCUUGUCUGCGUACUUGUGCGACUGUUCUCGUGCUUUCGGCUCGGUGAGACCGACGUGGACACGUUGCGUAUCUGCAGCAGGUGCACUUAAACAG